This 578-nucleotide ribosomal RNA is filed under the name Ralstonia sp. enrichment culture. RNAcentral describes it as "bacterial SSU rRNA". It matches the Rfam family "Bacterial small subunit ribosomal RNA", at positions 21 to 596 of the family's 1533-position model. The record is from RNAcentral. Lineage: Bacteria; Pseudomonadati; Pseudomonadota; Betaproteobacteria; Burkholderiales; Burkholderiaceae.
GGCUCAGAUUGAACGCUGGCGGCAUGCCUUACACAUGCAAGUCGAACGGUAACAGGUCUUCGGAUGCUGACGAGUGGCGAACGGGUGAGUAAUACAUCGGAACGUGCCCGAUCGUGGGGGAUAACGGAGCGAAAGCUUUGCUAAUACCGCAUACGAUCUACGGAUGAAAGCAGGGGACCGCAAGGCCUUGCGCGGACGGAGCGGCCGAUGGCAGAUUAGGUAGUUGGUGGGAUAAAAGCUUACCAAGCCGACGAUCUGUAGCUGGUCUGAGAGGACGACCAGCCACACUGGGACUGAGACACGGCCCAGACUCCUACGGGAGGCAGCAGUGGGGAAUUUUGGACAAUGGGCGAAAGCCUGAUCCAGCCAUGCCGCGUGCAGGAUGAAGGCCUUCGGGUUGUAAACUGCUUUUGUACGGAACGAAAAGACUCCUUCUAAUAAAGGGGGUCCAUGACGGUACCGUAAGAAUAAGCACCGGCUAACUACGUGCCAGCAGCCGCGGUAAUACGUAGGGUGCAAGCGUUAAUCGGAAUUACUGGGCGUAAAGCGUGCGCAGGCGGUUAUAUAAGACAGAUGUG